This 468-nucleotide ribosomal RNA is filed under the name uncultured bacterium. RNAcentral's name for it is "partial 16S ribosomal RNA". It matches the Rfam family "Bacterial small subunit ribosomal RNA", at positions 28 to 507 of the family's 1533-position model. The record is from RNAcentral.
GACGAACGCUGGCGGCGUGCUUAACACAUGCAAGUCGAACGGAAAGGCCCUUCUUUUUUUGGGUGCUCGGGUGGCGAACGGGUGAGUAACACGUGAGUAACCUGCCCUUGACUUUUGUUUAACUUCAGGAAACUGGGGCUAAUCCCGGAUAGGAGCUCCUGCUUCAUGGUGGGGGUUGGAAAGUUUCGGCGGUUGGGUAUGGACUCGCGGCUUAUCAGCUUGUUGGUGGGGUAGUGGCUUACCAAGGCUUUGACGGGUAGCCGGCCUGAGAGGGUGACCGGCCACAUUGGGACUGAGAGACGGCCCAGACUCCUACGGGAGGCAGCAGUGGGGAAUAUUGCAAAAUGGGCGGAAGCCUGAUGCAGCAACGCCGCGUGCGGGAUGAAGGCCUUCGGGUUGUAAACCGCUUUCGCCUGUGACGAAGCGUGAGUGACGGUAAUGGGUAAAGAAGCACCGGCUAACUACGUG